Cyprinus carpio (common carp) is the source of this 1640-nucleotide long non-coding RNA. RefSeq lists it as uncharacterized. Lineage: Eukaryota; Metazoa; Chordata; Actinopteri; Cypriniformes; Cyprinidae. The record is from RefSeq and is a predicted model, not a curated record.
CCUUUUACUUCCUCCUCGUGCUGGUGUCUUAUUAGUGAUCACACACUUGCUGUCCGCUUCACACAAACACUCAUCAGCGCCUGAUACAUACAUGCCCCGAAGAGCACACGUCCCCAUGGCGGGCCAACCCGAGGAGCCCUGUGGAUCCGACCAACGGUGAAGCAAGGAACGCAAAGGUCUAUCCAUACAUCUACUGGUCUCUCUCUGAUCUAGACUCUUCUCUUAGAGUAUUUGACAGACUGUGGUUGACACUCAAUUUAAGGGGGUGUCAGUUUGUCAAAUACCCCAAGAGAGGGGGCACGAGUCUCCAAAGUUCUCCAUCAUCUCGUUUGAUACAAGCGAGCCCAGUUACACCCUCAUGUUCAACCGUUUGCAGCAGCGCAUGUGUAAGUUUAACUACUUAUGCUCAGUGCUGUGUAGAUUGCUUACAAAUUGUAGUCUUUUACUGAUUGUUACUCUGUUACAUGAUAAAAAUUGUAGUCAGUAAUGUAAUCCAGAUUACUAAUUUUAGGUUAUGUAUUCUGGCUACUUUUGAGUUACUUUUGGAUUACUUUUGGCCUAAUUGGUUUAUAGAUUUGAAUGGGAUUCUUGUUAGAAAAAGCAAAGAUAAAGUGUAUUCUGUUAUAAACAUCAUGAAACACAUAAAAUUUUACAUUACUCCAGGAUUUCCCAAACUAGGGUAAAGAAGUGCUGAUGGCUUCUGAGUUUAUAUAACAAAAAUUAAUUAUUAAAUCAUAAAAAUUUAAAUGAGUAAUUUAAAUAACAUUUUUACAUUUUAAGAUUUUAUGUUUACCUGCAUGUCAGGGUGACAUCAGAGAACUGUGAACAUGUGAAUGUGUUGUUAAAUUAUUAUAUAUAAAUAUUAACAUGUAUAAUUGACUGAGAGGUGCUUUCGUACUCAAACUCAGAAGCAUGGACUGCAAAUUAAUUUGCAUGACAUUUAUGUGGCCAUUCUAUAUUGUGAAUGUUCGAAGCUAAAUGAUAUGACAGUAGAAUUUUUUAGAAAUGAAUUUUUUAAUCAUGUAAUCCAUAAAAAGUAAUUGUAAUCUGAUUAUUACCCUUUUUAGUACUACAUUUUUGGAAUCUGAUUACAUCAUCCAGAUUACAUGUAAUCCGUUUCUACCCAUCACUGCUUAUUCUUGUGCAAAAUGUCUAAGGAAAAUAUCAAAUAAGCAGAAGCACGGGAUGUUUUCCAUAUCAUUUUUUCAUUUAUAGUGUAUGUUUGUAUUUUUUGGCUCUAUAUUGCUGCGAUCUUUCUGAAUGGAUAAACAGGUAGAUUGGAUAAAUAGAUGAAAAAUACAAAUGUCAGAAAAGUACUAUUAAUGCAGUGCUCCCUGUGUCACAGAUCAUUACAUUAUAAUAAAGUACUCUUACACUCUCAACAUGAUUUAGACAACCAGAGUUUAGCAUGCUGAUCAUACUGAUAGCUGCUGAUGACAGUUUGCAUUAACAAGUUCCUCGCUACAGACAACUGGAAUUGUGAAAUUUGUGUUUCAUUGUUAGUAUGUGUUAAUGUGUGUAGGAGUGUGCUAUUUGUUAUCUGUUAAUUAAAUCUAACCAUGUUUUGUUUAUAUUUAGUAUGUCAAUUCUGUGUACAGUGGCUGUUUAUUGGAAUAUUAAACAAUUAUUACUAAUGGAAA